GUCGAGCGCACCCUUCGGGGCGAGCGGCGGACGGGUUAGUAACGCGUGGGAACAUACCCUUUUCUAUGGAAUAGCCUUUGGAAACGAAGAGUAAUACCAUAUACGCCCUUCGGGGGAAAGAUUUAUCGGAGAAGGAUUGGCCCGCGUAAGAUUAGAUAGUUGGUGGGGUAAUGGCCUACCAAGUCUACGAUCUUUAGCUGGUUUUAGAGGAUGAUCAGCAACACUGGGACUGAGACACGGCCCAGACUCCUACGGGAGGCAGCAGUGGGGAAUCUUAGACAAUGGGCGCAAGCCUGAUCUAGCCAUGCCGCGUGUGUGAUGAAGGCCUUAGGGUCGUAAAGCACUUUCGCCAGAGAUGAUAAUGACAGUAUCUGGUAAAGAAACCCCGGCUAACUCCGUGCCAGCAGCCGCGGUAAUACGGAGGGGGUUAGCGUUGUUCGGAAUUACUGGGCGUAAAGCGUACGUAGGCGGAUCAGAAAGUAGGGGGUGAAAUCCCGAGGCUCAACCUCGGAACUGCCUCCUAAACUCCUGGUCUUGAGUUCGAGAGAGGUGAGUGGAAUUCCAAGUGUAGAGGUGAAAUUCGUAGAUAUUUGGAGGAACACCAGUGGCGAAGGCGGCUCACUG
RNAcentral lists this ribosomal RNA (624 nucleotides) under uncultured bacterium. RNAcentral's name for it is "bacterial SSU rRNA". It matches the Rfam family "Bacterial small subunit ribosomal RNA", at positions 61 to 731 of the family's 1533-position model. The record is from RNAcentral.